Molecule: ribosomal RNA, 494 nt
Filed under: uncultured bacterium
Lineage: Bacteria
Description: partial 16S ribosomal RNA
Rfam family: Bacterial small subunit ribosomal RNA
Source: RNAcentral
GACGAACGCUGGCGGCGCGCUUAACACAUGCAAGUCGAACGGAAAGGCCUGCUUUCCCUUGUGGAUUGCGGGUACUCGAGUGGCGAACGGGUGAGUAACACGUGAGUGAUCUGCCCCCAACUUGGGUAUAAGCCUGGGAAACUGGGUCUAAUUCCCGAUAGGACUGCAGGGUGGUGCCUGUGGUGGAAAACGAUUUUCUAGUGGUUGGGGAUGAGCUCGCGGCCUAUCAGCUUGUUGGUGGGGUAAUGGCCUACCAAGGCGGCGACGGGUAGCCGGCCUGGGAUGGUGGACGGCCACAUUGGGACUGAGAUACGGCCCAGACUCGUACGGGAGGCAGCAGUGGGGAAGAAUGCACAAUGGGCGGAAGCCUGAUGCAGCGACGCCGCGUGGGGGAUGACGGGCUUCGGGUUGUAAACUCCUUUCGACCGAGAGGAAGCCACCUGGUUGGAAGGGUGGUGACGGUAGUGGUAGAAGAAGCACCGGCUAACUACGUG